CUCCUCUCAGGGUCACACCUGGAGAGUUUCCAGUACUCUAUCAGUCUAUACUACUGGAGGGAGAGUCAAGUAGAGGCCUACCCAUUCCAUUUCUAGCUUGGGCGGUGGCUAGUGAGUGGAAGGCAAACUGCUACAAGU
Ornithorhynchus anatinus (platypus) is the source of this 138-nucleotide small nucleolar RNA. Lineage: Eukaryota; Metazoa; Chordata; Mammalia; Monotremata; Ornithorhynchidae. The record is from RefSeq and is a predicted model, not a curated record.